GGGUGGCAGAGGAAAGAGGAAUGGCGGAGAAGACAUAAAGGUUUUGGAUGAAGGGGACGGAAAGUUUGGAGUGUGCGCGACUAUAUUUAAUUCCGGUCGCUCGGCAACUGAUGAGCAACACUUGGUGAAAGGGAUGGAGGCAGCGGAGGGGACCACACUGGGUGACGCGUGUGACUCAACCAAAAGAGGGCACGUUUGCGGAAUAUUGUUGGCACACACAAACUCCACCAUACAAGUCAAUCAGGAGGCAGGAACACCGCUUUGAACUCCGAGCAUGACAUCAGCAGGUCCACACAGGCCAGAACAAUCUUUUCGAAGUGACUCGACCGACCUGGUGGAGCGCUGUCAGCCCGUCUACGUUGGCGUGGUUGAUGUCAGCUCCCUGGCGGAGGAGCGCCGCCACCUCCUCCCGGUCCCCGGCGGAGCAGGCGGCCAUAAACACGGCUCCCUGGGCGAAGCGGACCCGCGCCCGACGUGUCCCCGAGCUGCUCGCGGUAUCCCGAGCUUCCGACUCCGUCUGGUCCGUCUCCGAGCCCAGCCAUCGCUGCAGCUGAUCUUGCCGUCGCUGUUUGGCAGCUUCGGACCGGGACUGGUCAGUGGCCGCCAUCUUCCCUCGUCUGUCCCGGACCAAAUCAGCUCAUGGUGCGGGAGAAGUUGCUUGGAUGGGCUUGGAAGGGCGGCUCUCCCAGGAUGCGCCCCCUGGUGGAGAGACGCCCCAAAUGACGCUGUUGAACUUCACGACAAACCUAUGACUGAGUGGCAGUCAGGUGUCGCAUUCGAGGCGCCUGGGAAACCACAAAUUAUAAUAAAGGGCGUUUCUACUUUU
Long non-coding RNA from Syngnathus typhle (broad-nosed pipefish), 826 nucleotides. RefSeq lists it as uncharacterized. The record is from RefSeq and is a predicted model, not a curated record. The transcript has 2 exons. NCBI's taxonomy places the organism in Eukaryota, Metazoa, Chordata, Actinopteri, Syngnathiformes, Syngnathidae.